GGUUAAGCGACUAAGCGUACACGGUGGAUGCCCUGGCAGUCAGAGGCGAUGAAGGGCGUGCUAAUCUGCGAUAAGCGCCGGUAAGGUGAUAUGAACCGUUAUAACCGGCGAUACCCGAAUGGGGAAACCCAGUGUGACUCGUCACACUAUCAUUAACUGAAUCCAUAGGUUAAUGAGGCGAACCGGGGGAACUGAAACAUCUAAGUACCCCGAGGAAAAGAAAUCAACCGAGAUUCCCCCAGUAGCGGCGAGCGAACGGGGAGGAGCCCAGAGCCUGAAUCAGCAUGUGUGUUAGUGGAAGCGUCUGGAAAGGCGCGCGAUACAGGGUGACAGCCCCGUACACAAAAGCGCAUGUGCUGUGAGCUCGAUGAGUAGGGCGGGACACGUGGUAUCCUGUCUGAAUAUGGGGGGACCAUCCUCCAAGGCUAAAUACUCCUGACUGACCGAUAGUGAACCAGUACCGUGAGGGAAAGGCGAAAAGAACCCCGGCGAGGGGAGUGAAAAAGAACCUGAAACCGUGUACGUACAAGCAGUGGGAGCACAGGUUUACCUGUGUGACUGCGUACCUUUUGUAUAAUGGGUCAGCGACUUAUAUUCUGUAGCAAGGUUAACCGAAUAGGGGAGCCGGAGGGAAACCGAGUCUUAAUUGGGCGUUAAGUUGCAGGGUAUAGACCCGAAACCCGGUGAUCUAGCCAUGGGCAGGUUGAAGGUUGGGUAACACUAACUGGAGGACCGAACCGACUAAUGUUGAAAAAUUAGCGGAUGACCUGUGGCUGGGGGUGAAAGGCCAAUCAAACCGGGAGAUAGCUGGUUCUCCCCGAAAGCUAUUUAGGUAGCGCCUCGUGAAUUCAUCUCCGGGGGUAGAGCACUGUUUCGGCUAGGGGGCCAUCCCGGCUUACCAACCCGAUGCAAACUGCGAAUACCGGAGAAUGUUAUCACGGGAGACACACGGCGGGUGCUAACGUCCGUCGUGAAGAGGGAAACAACCCAGACCGCCAGCUAAGGUCCCAAAGUCAUGGUUAAGUGGGAAACGAUGUGGGAAGGCCCAGACAGCCAGGAUGUUGGCUUAGAAGCAGCCAUCAUUUAAAGAAAGCGUAAUAGCUCACUGGUCGAGUCGGCCUGCGCGGAAGAUGUAACGGGGCUAAACCAUGCACCGAAGCUGCGGCAGCGACGCUGAUGCGUUGUUGGGUAGGGGAGCGUUCUGUAAGCCUGCGAAGGUGGCCUGUGAGGGUUGCUGGAGGUAUCAGAAGUGCGAAUGCUGACAUAAGUAACGAUAAAGCGGGUGAAAAGCCCGCUCGCCGGAAGACCAAGGGUUCCUGUCCAACGUUAAUCGGGGCAGGGUGAGUCGACCCCUAAGGCGAGGCCGAAAGGCGUAGUCGAUGGGAAACGGGUUAAUAUUCCCGUACUUGGUGUUACUGCGAAGGGGGGACGGAGAAGGCUAUGUUGGCCGGGCGACGGUUGUCCCGGUUUAAGCGUGUAGG
RNAcentral lists this ribosomal RNA (1481 nucleotides) under Salmonella enterica subsp. enterica serovar Montevideo. RNAcentral's name for it is "partial 23S ribosomal RNA". It matches the Rfam family "Bacterial large subunit ribosomal RNA", at positions 1 to 1524 of the family's 2925-position model. Lineage: Bacteria; Pseudomonadati; Pseudomonadota; Gammaproteobacteria; Enterobacterales; Enterobacteriaceae. The record is from RNAcentral.